This is a long non-coding RNA of Lycium ferocissimum, 743 nucleotides long. RefSeq lists it as uncharacterized. NCBI's taxonomy places the organism in Eukaryota, Viridiplantae, Streptophyta, Magnoliopsida, Solanales, Solanaceae. The record is from RefSeq and is a predicted model, not a curated record. The transcript is spliced from 3 exons.
AAAAAAAGCUUUGCUAUGGUCCGCAAUGAUUUGGAAAAAUAGAGGGAAACUUCUGAUCCUCUAUCACUUAAGGAAAUCUUUGUGGCUACAAGAAAAAGAAAAUCUAGUCGAUCAUACAAGGAUACAGAUGAAGAUACAACUAGAAAAAUUGCUAAGAUGGAGAAUAUUGAAAUGCAACAAAGUGAAGAUGGUAAUGAGUCGAUUAAUGCAUUUGUAUCCGUUAUGGGACCUGAACAUUCAGGACUUUUGAGAUUGUAUGGACGAGGGGUUACAAAAACUACUUUAAAGGGGAAAGUGGGACAUUUCGACCCUCCUUAACUGCAACAAAUGAUCUCGUGCAAAAGAUGGAAGAGAGGAUGAUAAGAUUAAUGGAGGAAAAACUUGAGGAACAAAAGGAACAAUUUGAGGAACAAAAGACCACGAUGAGACAAGAAAUUGCAGAAGAUUUCAUAACAAAGAUUCAACGUUCCGGAUUACCAAUCGAUGCUAAAGUUUUAGCAACACUGGUUGAAGCUUUCUCAACAUGAGCACCAGCUACUCAGCUAACUCAUCGUCCUUCUAGUGGUAGCAACAAUCAAGGUCAGAGUCCUUUUUCAUUUCAUUUUGCUUCUACUUCUUCUGCUGCUUCUACUUUUUCUUUUUUGCUGGUACUGUUGCGACUUGGAUCUUCUUCUUGGUUUUUGUUAGUUUAAAGAAAAAGGCUUUGCUGCUAUUGGGGAAAAAGGGUUAUAUUUUUUAGUUUA